GGCGGGGAAGAACAACAGGGGAUUGCCCCAGUAACGGCGAGUGAAGCGGCAACAGCUCAAAUUUGAAAUCUGGCUCUCGGGCCCGAGUUGUAAUUUGUAGAGGAUGCUUUUGGUGAGGUGCCUUCCGAGUUCCCUGGAACGGGACGCCAUAGAGGGUGAGAGCCCCGUCUGGUUGGACACCGAUCCUCUGUAAAGCUCCUUCGACGAGUCGAGUAGUUUGGGAAUGCUGCUCUAAAUGGGAGGUAUAUGUCUUCUAAAGCUAAAUACCGGCCAGAGACCGAUAGCGCACAAGUAGAGUGAUCGAAAGAUGAAAAGAACUUUGAAAAGAGAGUUAAAAAGUACGUGAAAUUGUUGAAAGGGAAGCGCUUGUGACCAGACUUGGGCUUGGUUGAUCAUCCGGGGUUCUCCCCGGUGCACUCUUCCGGCUCAGGCCAGCAUCAGUUCGCCCUGGGGGAUAAAGGCUUCGGGAAUGUGGCUCUCUCCGGGGAGUGUUAUAGCCCGCUGCGUAAUACCCUGUGGCGGACUGAGGUUCGCGCAUUCGCAAGGAUGCUGGCGUAAUGGUCAUCAGUGACCCGUCUUGAAACACGGACCAAGGAGUCGUCUUCGUAUGCGAGUGUUCGGGUGUCAAACCCCUACGCGAAAUGAAAGUGAACGCAGGUGAGAGCUUCGGCGCAUCAUCGACCGAUCCUGAUGUUAUCGGAUGGAUUUGAGUAAGAGCAUACGGGGCCGGACCCGAAAGAAGGUGAACUAUGCCUGUGUAGGGUGAAGCCAGAGGAAACUCUGGUGGAGGCUCGCACCGGUUCUGACGUGCAAAUCGAUCGUCAAACAUGGGCAUGGGGGCGAGAGACUAAUCGAACCUUCUAGUAGCUGGUUUCCG
Molecule: ribosomal RNA, 877 nt
Filed under: Fusarium solani
Lineage: Eukaryota; Fungi; Ascomycota; Sordariomycetes; Hypocreales; Nectriaceae
Description: partial large subunit ribosomal RNA
Rfam family: Eukaryotic large subunit ribosomal RNA
Source: RNAcentral